UACGUAGGGUGCAAGCGUUGUCCGGAAUUAUUGGGCGUAAAGAGCUCGUAGGCGGUUUGUCACGUCGGAUGUGAAAACCCGGGGCUUAACUCCGGGCCUGCAUUCGAUACGGGCUGACUAGAGUUCGGCAGGGGAGACUGGAAUUCCUGGUGUAGCGGUGAAAUGCGCAGAUAUCAGGAGGAACACCGGUGGCGAAGGCGGGUCUCUGGGCCGAUACUGACGCUGAGGAGCGAAAGCGUGGGGAGCGAACAGG
This 253-nucleotide ribosomal RNA is filed under the name uncultured bacterium. Its description in RNAcentral is "partial 16S ribosomal RNA". It matches the Rfam family "Bacterial small subunit ribosomal RNA", at positions 524 to 776 of the family's 1533-position model. The record is from RNAcentral.